This 96-nucleotide ribosomal RNA is filed under the name Cephalotus follicularis. Lineage: Eukaryota; Viridiplantae; Streptophyta; Magnoliopsida; Oxalidales; Cephalotaceae. The record is from RNAcentral.
AGGACCGACCAUAUCAGCACUAUUGCAUGGGAUUCCAUCAGAACUCCAAAGUUAAGCGUGCUUGGGCGAGAAUAGUUCUAAGAUGGGCUUGUCUUA